This 431-nucleotide ribosomal RNA is filed under the name uncultured Rhizobium sp. RNAcentral describes it as "bacterial SSU rRNA". It matches the Rfam family "Bacterial small subunit ribosomal RNA", at positions 29 to 507 of the family's 1533-position model. The record is from RNAcentral. Lineage: Bacteria; Pseudomonadati; Pseudomonadota; Alphaproteobacteria; Hyphomicrobiales; Rhizobiaceae.
AACGAACGCUGGCGGCAGGCUUAACACAUGCAAGUCGAGCGCCCCGCAAGGGGAGCGGCAGACGGGUGAGUAACGCGUGGGAAUCUACCCAUCUCUACGGAAUAACUCAGGGAAACUUGUGCUAAUACCGUAUACGCCCUUUGGGGGAAAGAUUUAUCGGAGAUGGAUGAGCCCGCGUUGGAUUAGCUAGUUGGUGGGGUAAAGGCCUACCAAGGCGACGAUCCAUAGCUGGUCUGAGAGGAUGAUCAGCCACAUUGGGACUGAGACACGGCCCAAACUCCUACGGGAGGCAGCAGUGGGGAAUAUUGGACAAUGGGCGCAAGCCUGAUCCAGCCAUGCCGCGUGAGUGAUGAAGGCCUUAGGGUUGUAAAGCUCUUUCACCGGAGAAGAUAAUGACGGUAUCCGGAGAAGAAGCCCCGGCUAACUUCGUG